AAGUGUAAAUUUGAUUUACCAGGGUAUUAUUAGUUAAGGUCUUUAAACCCAAAGAAUUUGGCGGUAUCUCAUUCCAUUCAGAGGAACCUACCCCGUUAUUGAUAGUACACGAUUAACUUUACUUAAUUUAAUUGUUUGUAUAUCUCCGUUAUCAGGAAAUCUUUUUAGAGUUAUAAUUUUCUUGAUUUAUAAUUAUGAAUUAUUUCAGGUCAAGGUGCAGCUUAUAAUUAAGAGGAGGUGGGUUACAAUAGGUUUUUGCUUAUAAUGGAUUUAAUAUUGAAAUAUUAUUAAUGAAGGUGGAUUUGAUAGUAAUUUAAUUUAUUUAAUUUAAUUGAUAUUGGCUCUGAGGU
Molecule: ribosomal RNA, 350 nt
Filed under: Neopedies brunneri
Lineage: Eukaryota; Metazoa; Arthropoda; Insecta; Orthoptera; Acrididae
Description: partial 12S ribosomal RNA
Source: RNAcentral